GCGAGAGUGGCGGAAUUGGCAGACGCGCCAGACUUAGGAUCUGGUGCCUUCCGGCGUGAGGGUUCGAGUCCCUCCUCUCGCA
RNAcentral lists this transfer RNA (82 nucleotides) under Candidatus Latescibacteria bacterium ADurb.Bin168. Its description in RNAcentral is "tRNA-Leu". It matches the Rfam family "tRNA". Rfam says of the family: Transfer RNA (tRNA) molecules are approximately 80 nucleotides in length. Their secondary structure includes four short double-helical elements and three loops (D, anti-codon, and T loops). Further hydrogen bonds mediate the characteristic L-shaped molecular structure. tRNAs have two regions of fundamental functional importance: the anti-codon, which is responsible for specific mRNA codon recognition, and the 3' end, to which the tRNAs corresponding amino acid is attached (by aminoacyl-tRNA synthetases). tRNAs cope with the degeneracy of the genetic code in two manners: having more than one tRNA (with a specific anti-codon) for a particular amino acid; and 'wobble' base-pairing, i.e. permitting non-standard base-pairing at the 3rd anti-codon position. RNAcentral also lists the same sequence under 1 other name. The record is from RNAcentral. Lineage: Bacteria; Pseudomonadati; Candidatus Latescibacterota.